UGGUGGGUAGUUUGACUGGGGCGGUCUCCUCCUAAAGAGUAACGGAGGAGCACGAAGGUUAGCUAAUCCUGGUCGGACAUCAGGAGGUUAGUGCAAAGGCAUAAGCUAGCUUGACUGCGAGAGUGACGGCUCGAGCAGGUGCGAAAGCAGGUCUUAGUGAUCCGGUGGUUCUGAAUGGAAGGGCCAUCGCUCAACGGAUAAAAGGUACUCCGGGGAUAACAGGCUGAUACCGCCCAAGAGUUCAUAUCGACGGCGGUGUUUGGCACCUCGAUGUCGGCUCAUCACAUCCUGGGGCUGAAGUAGGUCCCAAGGGUAUGGCUGUUCGCCAUUUAAAGUGGUACGCGAGCUGGGUUUAGAACGUCGUGAGACAGUUCGGUCCCUAUCUGCCGUGGGCGCUGGAGAAUUGAGGGGGGCUGCUCCUAGUACGAGAGGACCGGAGUGGACGCAUCACUGGUGUUCGGGUUGUCAUGCCAAUGGCACUGCCCGGUAGCUAAAUGCGGAAGAGAUAAGUGCUGAAAGCAUCUAAGCACGAAACUUGCC
RNAcentral lists this ribosomal RNA (540 nucleotides) under Citrobacter freundii. RNAcentral describes it as "partial 23S ribosomal RNA". It matches the Rfam family "Bacterial large subunit ribosomal RNA", at positions 2259 to 2798 of the family's 2925-position model. The record is from RNAcentral. Lineage: Bacteria; Pseudomonadati; Pseudomonadota; Gammaproteobacteria; Enterobacterales; Enterobacteriaceae.